This 289-nucleotide ribosomal RNA is filed under the name Klebsiella pneumoniae. RNAcentral's name for it is "partial 16S ribosomal RNA". It matches the Rfam family "Bacterial small subunit ribosomal RNA", at positions 1 to 288 of the family's 1533-position model. The record is from RNAcentral. Lineage: Bacteria; Pseudomonadati; Pseudomonadota; Gammaproteobacteria; Enterobacterales; Enterobacteriaceae.
AAAUUGAAGAGUUUGAUCAUGGCUCAGAUUGAACGCUGGCGGCAGGCCUAACACAUGCAAGUCGAGCGGUAGCACAGAGAGCUUGCUCUCGGGUGACGAGCGGCGGACGGGUGAGUAAUGUCUGGGAAACUGCCUGAUGGAGGGGGAUAACUACUGGAAACGGUAGCUAAUACCGCAUAACGUCGCAAGACCAAAGUGGGGGACCUUCGGGCCUCAUGCCAUCAGAUGUGCCCAGAUGGGAUUAGCUAGUAGGUGGGGUAACGGCUCACCUAGGCGACGAUCCCUAGCU